RNAcentral lists this long non-coding RNA (2070 nucleotides) under Canis lupus familiaris (dog). RNAcentral's name for it is "lncRNA (ENSCAFG00845021632.1)". Lineage: Eukaryota; Metazoa; Chordata; Mammalia; Carnivora; Canidae. The record is from RNAcentral.
AGUUUAAAAUUUUAAUAUUUAUAAAUUUAAAAAAUUUUACACGUGCUGAAUGGUAGCAGUGCUAACAUUUUGUGACCAUUAAACCACAAACUCACUGCAUGGAGCUUCUUUCUUUGUACAGAGAACCAAAUCACAAUACCAGUAUUUGCAAUUUGUCAUAAUUUUAUGUGGUAACAAAGACACCACACCAGGAAGCCUGGGCUCAGAACACACUUGAGGUCAGAUCCCCAUCAGGUACAUAGUGCGGAUGCAGUAUUUUUAAUUUCAGGCUAGGAAAAUAGCUAUUAGUACACAUUUGAUAGCUCCUAAUAGCUAAGAGGCCUAAGAAUAUAGACUGAAAAGAAAAAAAAAAAAAUCUCUCCACUGGUGGGAAGGCCUGGAAUAAGUAAGUGAAAGCAAACCCCAGUGGGUGAGGUGAAAGAAGAUGUUUUUUGGUGUGAGUCUCAGGGAGUCUAAUGUACCAGCUGUACCUCCCAAUCACCACUGAAGCUGUCAUACAAUAUUCCAGUCUUUCCAAAGUAGAGCUAUAGGCCAGAAACAUGAUUUCAUCCAUCCUCUUUAAAAAAAAAAAAAAAAGAAUGGAUACUCAGUAUUAGGUUUAUAUCUUUACCUGAACCAAAUAUAUUCUUUGGCUAAGUAUGUCAUGGGUUUCCAUUAUCAACAGUCAAGAAUAUUUCACACUUCUCACAACUAAAUUUAAAUAUUUAAAGUUCAGCUUUAGCCAGGGCACUUCAAAUUAAUUUGAGCUCAGCAAUAUACCUAAUUUGGACAUUUUUUUUUAUUUUAGGAAAUUACUUUUUAAAGAAUUCUUAAAUGCAGUGUUUUACCAAAUGAGAGCAUACCCACUCACAUUUUUAAAUAAUUUAAAACCUUAUUACAUCCUCAAAUCAGCUAUGCUGUUUUGUAGAAGAAUUUAUAGAAAAUUAUGUUAAAAACUCAUAUCCAAACAGUUCCCUAUUCUGUUUAGAAAACAAAACAAAACACUAAGAAGUUCUGAGGUUCCCUUCUGUCUUAACAGCUAAUAUUUUAUUCAGGAACCAAUAAUGGUAAUUAUCUGUCAGAGACAGCUAACUUAAGUAAGGUCUAAUGACAACCACCUCUAAUGACAGAAGUGGCCAACAGAAACAAGUAGAACUGUAACAGACAGAAGAGUUUAAAGAUUUAACUGACACUGAAUACUAGGACUCUCAAACCUGAAAUCCUUGAAAAUGAAAGCUAGUUCCCUUCAAUACUUGAGGGAUUCAUACAAGUAUUAACAGAAAUGAGAAAUAUGGUGAUACUAAAAAGACAAAUACUUGAUAUCCUGAUAAAAGAAGUUCAAUCAAAGACAGUAAGGGAGUGUUAAAUAUUGCUGGCUGGGGGGAAGUUAUAGAGAUGCUUGGUUGUGAAAUGAAAACUGAAAAAAAAAAAAAAAAGAAGGUAGUAACCAUCAUAUCUGAACAGAGUAAUGUAUAUAAUUAGAUACAUGGUUUACAAUGAAAUAAGACUAAAUACGUAAAAUUUUAAAAAUAUUGCAGUUUUGUUUUGUUUUUUACAUGUUAACAAAAAAACUCAAUGCAGUGAUGUUAACAUGCUCCCUGUUCCCCCAUCUUCCAACAGAUUCAGAGAUGGCAAGGCAGAAAUACCCGGAUAACUGUGUUGAGGACACUGUCAAAUACUGCCAAAUAGUUUAGUUACUCAGGCAACCCCCCACCCAGAAAGACUAUAAAAACUAAUCCUUUUCACAGAGGUACAAGAAUGCAGUUACAUGUACCGUUACAUGGAUACAAGUUGUGAAAGGACCAAGUCCUUACUGACUUGGACCAAGUCCUUACUGAUUGUGCCUUGGGACUCUGUAGAGACUGUGCUUUUUGGAAACAAAUGUGCAAGGAAAAUAAAACAAGAAAUAAGUCUAAUAAUAAAGAAUGAACUGAAAACUAGAAGUUAAAAGAUACUAUAUCUGAACAGAAAUUUCGUAAAACACAAAAUUCUCAAAAUCAUAUCCUCAAAAGUGUCCCUUUAAUGUAUAAGAAGGGGGGCACAAAUGUUUUUGUUUUUAAAACUCUUUUAACAAAAAAAAAAAAAAAAAAA